Molecule: ribosomal RNA, 945 nt
Filed under: uncultured archaeon
Lineage: Archaea
Description: bacterial SSU rRNA
Rfam family: Archaeal small subunit ribosomal RNA
Source: RNAcentral
AACCUGGUUGAUCCUGCCGGAGGCGACCGCUAUUGGAGUUCGAUUAAGCCAUGCGAGUCUAGAGGCUUAGGCCUCGGCGUACCGCUCAGUAACACGUGGAUAACCUGCCCUGUUCAGGGGGAUAACCUCGCGAAAGUGAGAAUAAUACCCCAUAGUUCACCAUGCCUGGAACGGUUGGUGGAUUAAAGCUCAGGCGGAACAGGAUGGGUCUGCGGCGUAUCAGGUAGUAGGGGGUGUAAUGGACCUCCUAGCCCUCGACGCGUACGGGUUGUGGGAGCAAUCGCCCGGAGAUGGAUUCUGAGACACGAAUCCAGACCCUACGGGGUGCAGCAGGCGCGAAAACUUGACAAUGCGAGAAAUCGUGAUCAGGGAACUCCAAUUGUCCCCGUUUUUACGGGGUUCUGAAUUGACUCUAAACAGGUCGAGUAAUAGGGGCGGGAAAUAUCGGUGCCAGCCGCCGCGGUAAUACCGAAGCCCCAAGUGGUCGUCGUUCUUAUUGGGCCUAAAACGUCCGUAGCCGGUUUGGUACAUUCGUGGGUAAAUCAGACAGCUUAACUGUCUGAAUUCUGCGAGCACGGCCAAACUUGAGACCGGGAGAGGUGUAGGGUACCUGCGGGGUAGGGGUAAAAUCCUGUCAUCCCGUAGGGACCACCAGUUGCGAAGGCUCUACACUAGAACGGAUCUGACGGUCAGGGACGAAGCCUAGGGGCACGAACCGGAUUAGAUACCCGGGUAGUCCUAGGUGUAAACGCUGUGGACUUUGUGUCGGGGAUUCUUCGAGGAUUCUCGGUGCCGGAGUGAAGAUGUUAAGUCCACUGCCUGGGGAGUACGGUCGCAAGGCUGAAACUUAAAGGAAUUGGCGGGGGAGCACUGCAACGAGAGGAGCGUGCGGUUUAAUUGGAUUCAACGCCGGAAAACUCACCAAAGCCGACUGUUAUAUGAAGA